Molecule: ribosomal RNA, 253 nt
Filed under: uncultured bacterium
Lineage: Bacteria
Description: partial 16S ribosomal RNA
Rfam family: Bacterial small subunit ribosomal RNA
Source: RNAcentral
UACGUAGGUGGCAAGCGUUGUCCGGAUUUACUGGGCGUAAAGAGCGCGCAGGCGGUCGGAUAAGUCGAAUGUGAAAGCCCCCGGCUCAACUGGGGAGGGUCAUUCGAUACUGUUCGACUCGAAGGCAGGAGAAGGAAGUGGAAUUCCCGGUGUAGUGGUGAAAUGCGUAGAGAUGUGGAGGAACACCGAUGGCGAAGGCAGCCCCCUGGGCCAAUACUGACGCUCAUGCACGAAAGCGUGGGGAGCAAACAGG